AAGCUGCCAAAGAGGAGAGAAAAUGUCACACGACAUCACAAAAACUGCACUGGGUCACCUCUUCAUCAUGAAAUGGCAAAAGAGUGUUCACAAUAAGCAUUUCUGCUAAUGAUCUUUCCUGCUCCUAUGCGCCGUGGAGCUGUAACGGUCCCUAGUGAUUCUCAUGAGACCCAUGUUGCAAGGAAAGAGAAACAGAUGGGAUUCAAGAGAAUGAACCUGGGACCCCCAGGACCUGAUAUAAGAAGAGCUAAAAUUACAAGAGGCUUGUUGGAAGAAAUGUCAUACUCCAUAUACCUUCAGCUAUGACACUUGCUGGAAUUCUCGCUGGAGAAGAGACUAAGGCAGAGCUACUGGGAGAAAGAGCUGGAAGACAAAGCUGCCAACAGUGAGGCCAUCCUCUAAGAAGGCCAACCAGCAGAACACCACUUCAGUGGCUGCCAGUGAAACUCAAAAGGGGGGGCAGGACUAGAAUCCAUGGCUAAAAGUCAAGUUUAGUCAUUAGGAAGGAAAAGCCUGUAGAAGUCUCUGGAUGGGGGUUGAGUUUAUUUUCCAGCAGUUAGAGUCAGGUUCAGGGAGGCCUGUCGGUGCUAAGAGGGAGGAACUGUCUGAAGGUUCAGAGGUCUUGUAAUACAGCGGAGGGCUAGAGUGUAAAUUAGGACCCAGAGUACAAAUCCAACUGCACAAACCAAGGGAUUAGUGCUGGAAGGUGAAGGAGGGAACCAUGACUCAGUGCACUCAAGGUAGCCAGGGUACAUACACCAUAAACCCUACUGGGAAGAGGAAAUUGGUGCUAGCCCUCAGGACGGAUGGAUGUCUGAAUUGGUUUCUUUUGCUCCAGUGAAUGGGCAAGGCUAUGAUAACAGGACCUUUUGUACCUGUGUUGCAUGACUCACGGAACAGGCAGGUAUGAAUGCAGGCUAAGAAGAGAGGGGUUUGGUCCAGGUUUUGGACAUUCCUACUGUCCUGAAGAACCAAAGAGCCUGGCAAAAACUCCAGUGCUCUGGUGUUCUGUUCAAGUCCCAGUGUGUGAUGUUUCUGUUUCUCAGGAGCUUUCCUCGAAUUGCCUCCCCACUGUGGGCACUUGAGAAGUGAUGGCUGCCACCACCCUCAACACUAUUAUUAUUUCCUUCCAGGUCAAUACCAUCAUCCCAGGAGUUAAAUGAUAACCUCUUUGCUCAUUUAAAAUGUCAUGCUCAUGACUGAUUGACAUUGUUUUUGAAGUGCUCUUGUUCCAAAAUUAGACACAUAAUAUUUUAAACAGCACAUAACUUAGAAGCAUAUGGAAAUCCUAUGAAGGAUACGUAUACUACAAAUGGAGGGUGUCGGUUCAGAUGCUUUUGGAUGGAGAUACCAGAAAAUUGGCCUCGAACUGGCUUAAAUAAUAGAGGGAACUAACUGGCUCUCCAAAGGGAGAACUGGAAGUGACUUCAGAUGUGGACUGGUCCAGUAGUUCAAUGAUACCAAGGAAUGAGGUUCCUUUCUUUCCUUCUUUCUUGCCUCGGUUGGCUUGCCUCUGAGGUAAGUUUGCCAGCACUGCUAGGCUACACACAUCUUUAUUUAUGCACAGCAAGAAACAGAUUAUCU
This is a long non-coding RNA of Canis lupus familiaris (dog), 1584 nucleotides long. RefSeq lists it as uncharacterized. The record is from RefSeq and is a predicted model, not a curated record. NCBI's taxonomy places the organism in Eukaryota, Metazoa, Chordata, Mammalia, Carnivora, Canidae. The transcript has 3 exons.